AAACAAAAGAAACUAAGCUCACACUGUGGAACAAGAAAUAAGCCCACGAGAGUCAACCAUCCCAAAUCGAACCGAUUCAACUCAACCAAACCAACCUAACAACCAAUCCUUCCCCAACCUUAAACCUUAAUUGUAGGGAUGAAAAAAAAAUAAAGAAAACAUGCUGCUGACCAUCUUGGAUUCGCUUCUAUCGAAAGAGCUACACUGCAAUCGAAGCCAAGCACAUUAUCGGCCACACAAAGAGCAUAAUUCCCAUCAUAGUUCGACAGCCCAUCCAACAGCGAUGAACACAAAGAAUUCCAAAACAGAGUACGUCAACUCUAUCUUGGUUAAGGAUGUUGCUGCGGAGCUUUUAGACCAUCGUUGGUCCUCAAAACAACCCAAUCGUAGUGUAGAAGUGUAUUCUAGAGUUGCAACCAACGAAUCAUAAGAGUUGUCCUCAACCACAUAGAAUAAACCAAGACUCAUACCGAACUUCACAGUCAAGCGAUGACAAGCGAAGCAUAAAGAAGCUAUCAGCAUGGCCUAUGGACCUCCAAGAAGACAGUUGGCUGAAUAUCUCUGUGAGAUAAAUAAUUACUAACUUUGAACUCUUGUUCAUGUGAAUUACUCAUAUGAACUGUAUGUCCCUUGGACCCA
This 639-nucleotide unclassified non-coding RNA is filed under the name Hevea brasiliensis (rubber tree). The record is from RNAcentral. Lineage: Eukaryota; Viridiplantae; Streptophyta; Magnoliopsida; Malpighiales; Euphorbiaceae.